This 1409-nucleotide ribosomal RNA is filed under the name Microbacterium sp. CO121. Its description in RNAcentral is "bacterial SSU rRNA". It matches the Rfam family "Bacterial small subunit ribosomal RNA". The record is from RNAcentral. Lineage: Bacteria; Bacillati; Actinomycetota; Actinomycetes; Micrococcales; Microbacteriaceae.
UCGUGCUUAACACAUGCAAGUCGAACGGUGAAGCCAAGCUUGCUUGGUGGAUCAGUGGCGAACGGGUGAGUAACACGUGAGCAACCUGCCCUGAACUCUGGGAUAAGCGCUGGAAACGGCGUCUAAUACUGGAUAUGAGCUGCGGAGGCAUCUUCGUGGUUGGAAAGAUUUUUCGGUUUGGGAUGGGCUCGCGGCCUAUCAGCUUGUUGGUGAGGUAAUGGCUCACCAAGGCGUCGACGGGUAGCCGGCCUGAGAGGGUGACCGGCCACACUGGGACUGAGACACGGCCCAGACUCCUACGGGAGGCAGCAGUGGGGAAUAUUGCACAAUGGGCGGAAGCCUGAUGCAGCAACGCCGCGUGAGGGAUGACGGCCUUCGGGUUGUAAACCUCUUUUAGCAGGGAAGAAGCGAAAGUGACGGUACCUGCAGAAAAAGCGCCGGCUAACUACGUGCCAGCAGCCGCGGUAAUACGUAGGGCGCAAGCGUUAUCCGGAAUUAUUGGGCGUAAAGAGCUCGUAGGCGGUUUGUCGCGUCUGCUGUGAAAACCCGAGGCUCAACCUCGGGCCUGCAGUGGGUACGGGCAGACUAGAGUGCGGUAGGGGAGAUUGGAAUUCCUGGUGUAGCGGUGGAAUGCGCAGAUAUCAGGAGGAACACCGAUGGCGAAGCAGAUCUCUGGGCCGUAACUGACGCUGAGGAGCGAAAGGUUGGGGAGCAAACAGGCUUAGAUACCCUGGUAGUCCACCCCGUAAACGUUGGAACUAGUUGUGGGGUCCAUUCCACGGAUUCCGUGACGCAGCUAACGCAUUAAGUUCCCCGCCUGGGGAGUACGGCCGCAAGGCUAAAACUCAAAGGAAUUGACGGGGACCCGCACAAGCGGCGGAGCAUGCGGAUUAAUUCGAUGCAACGCGAAGAACCUUACCAAGGCUUGACAUACACGAGAACGCUGCAGAAAUGUAGAACUCUUUGGACACUCGUGAACAGGUGGUGCAUGGUUGUCGUCAGCUCGUGUCGUGAGAUGUUGGGUUAAGUCCCGCAACGAGCGCAACCCUCGUUCUAUGUUGCCAGCACGUAAUGGUGGGAACUCAUGGGAUACUGCCGGGGUCAACUCGGAGGAAGGUGGGGAUGACGUCAAAUCAUCAUGCCCCUUAUGUCUUGGGCUUCACGCAUGCUACAAUGGCCGGUACAAAGGGCUGCAAUACCGCGAGGUGGAGCGAAUCCCAAAAAGCCGGUCCCAGUUCGGAUUGAGGUCUGCAACUCGACCUCAUGAAGUCGGAGUCGCUAGUAAUCGCAGAUCAGCAACGCUGCGGUGAAUACGUUCCCGGGUCUUGUACACACCGCCCGUCAAGUCAUGAAAGUCGGUAACACCUGAAGCCGGUGGCCCAACCCUUGUGGAGGGAGCCGUCGCAAGU